AGUGAACGCUGGCGGUAGGCCUAACACAUGCAAGUCGAACGGCAGCACAGUAAGAGCUUGCUCUUACGGGUGGCGAGUGGCGGACGGGUGAGGAAUACAUCGGAAUCUACUUUUUCGUGGGGGAUAACGUAGGGAAACUUACGCUAAUACCGCAUACGACCUACGGGUGAAAGCAGGGGAUCUUCGGACCUUGCGCGAUUGAAUGAGCCGAUGUCGGAUUAGCUAGUUGGCGGGGUAAAGGCCCACCAAGGCGACGAUCCGUAGCUGGUCUGAGAGGAUGAUCGGCCACACUGGAACUGAGACACGUUCCAGACUCCUACGGGAGGCAGCAGUGGGGAAUAUUGGACAAUGGGCGCAAGCCUGAUCCAGCCAUACCGCGUGGGUGAAGAAGGCCUUCGGGUUGUAAAGCCCUUUUGUUGGGAAAGAAAAGCAGCAGGUUAAUACCCCGCUGUUCUGACGGUACCCAAAGAAUAAGCACCGGCUAACUUCGUG
RNAcentral lists this ribosomal RNA (492 nucleotides) under uncultured bacterium. Its description in RNAcentral is "partial 16S ribosomal RNA". It matches the Rfam family "Bacterial small subunit ribosomal RNA", at positions 29 to 507 of the family's 1533-position model. The record is from RNAcentral.